GAUGAACGCUGGCGGCGUGCCUAAUACAUGCAAGUCGAGCGAACAGACGAGGAGCUUGCUCCUCUGACGUUAGCGGCGGACGGGUGAGUAACACGUGGAUAACCUACCUAUAAGACUGGGAUAACUUCGGGAAACCGGAGCUAAUACCGGAUAAUAUAUUGAACCGCAUGGUUCAAUAGUGUAAGACGGUUUUGCUGUCACUUAUAGAUGGAUCCGCGCCGCAUUAGCUAGUUGGUAAGGUAACGGCUUACCAAGGCAACGAUGCGUAGCCGACCUGAGAGGGUGAUCGGCCACACUGGAACUGAGACACGGUCCAGACUCCUACGGGAGGCAGCAGUAGGGAAUCUUCCGCAAUGGGCGAAAGUCUGACGGAGCAACGCCGCGUGAGUGAUGAAGGUCUUCGGAUCGUAAAACUCUGUUAUUAGGGAAGAACAAAUGUGUAAGUAACUAUGCACGUCUUGACGGUACCUAAUCAGAAAGCCACGGCUAACUACGUG
Molecule: ribosomal RNA, 497 nt
Filed under: uncultured bacterium
Lineage: Bacteria
Description: partial 16S ribosomal RNA
Rfam family: Bacterial small subunit ribosomal RNA
Source: RNAcentral